RNAcentral lists this ribosomal RNA (253 nucleotides) under uncultured bacterium. RNAcentral's name for it is "partial 16S ribosomal RNA". It matches the Rfam family "Bacterial small subunit ribosomal RNA", at positions 524 to 776 of the family's 1533-position model. The record is from RNAcentral.
GACGGGGGAUGCAAGCGUUAUCCGGAAUCACUGGGCGUAAAGCGUCUGUAGGUGGCGAUGCAAGUCACGGGUGCAAAACUCUGGCUCAACCGGAGGAAAGCCAGUGAAACUGCAUGACUAGAGUGUGGGAGAGGUAGAAGGAAUUCCCUGAGUAGCGGUGAAAUGCGUAGAUACAGGGAAGAACACCGGAGGCGAAUGCGUUCUACUGGAACACAACUGCCGCUGAGAGGCGAAAGCUAGGGGAGCGAAUGGG